UACAGAGGUCUCAAGCGUUGUUCGGAUUCAUUGGGCGUAAAGGGUGCGCAGGCGGCGCGGUAAGUCGGGUGUGAAAUCUCGGAGCUUAACUCCGAAACUGCAUUCGAUACUGCCGUGCUUGGGGACUGGAGAGGAGACUGGAAUUUACGGUGUAGCGGUGAAAUGCGUAGAUAUCGUAAGGAAGACCAGUGGCGAAGGCGGGUCUCUGGACAGUUCCUGACGCUGAGGCACGAAGGUCAGGGGAGCAAACGGG
RNAcentral lists this ribosomal RNA (253 nucleotides) under uncultured bacterium. RNAcentral's name for it is "partial 16S ribosomal RNA". It matches the Rfam family "Bacterial small subunit ribosomal RNA", at positions 524 to 776 of the family's 1533-position model. The record is from RNAcentral.